Molecule: ribosomal RNA, 199 nt
Filed under: uncultured bacterium
Lineage: Bacteria
Description: partial 16S ribosomal RNA
Rfam family: Bacterial small subunit ribosomal RNA
Source: RNAcentral
AGGCUGCAACCGCCUGCAUGAAGUCGGAAUUGCUAGUAAUCGCGGAUCAGCAUGCCGCGGUGGAAUACGUUCCCGGGCCCUUGUACACACCGCCCGUCACACCAUGGGAGCCGGUAAUACCCGAAGUCAGUAGUCCAACCUCGUGAGGACGCUGCCGAAGGUAGGAUUGGCGACUGGGGUGAAGUCGUAACAAGGUACC